Molecule: ribosomal RNA, 874 nt
Filed under: Weissella cibaria
Lineage: Bacteria; Bacillati; Bacillota; Bacilli; Lactobacillales; Lactobacillaceae
Description: bacterial SSU rRNA
Rfam family: Bacterial small subunit ribosomal RNA
Source: RNAcentral
CAGGAUGAACGCUGGCGGCGUGCCUAAUACAUGCAAGUCGAACGCUUUGUGGUUCAACUGAUUUGAAGAGCUUGCUCAGAUAUGACGAUGGACAUUGCAAAGAGUGGCGAACGGGUGAGUAACACGUGGGAAACCUACCUCUUAGCAGGGGAUAACAUUUGGAAACAGAUGCUAAUACCGUAUAACAAUAGCAACCGCAUGGUUGCUACUUAAAAGAUGGUUCUGCUAUCACUAAGAGAUGGUCCCGCGGUGCAUUAGUUAGUUGGUGAGGUAAUGGCUCACCAAGACGAUGAUGCAUAGCCGAGUUGAGAGACUGAUCGGCCACAAUGGGACUGAGACACGGCCCAUACUCCUACGGGAGGCAGCAGUAGGGAAUCUUCCACAAUGGGCGAAAGCCUGAUGGAGCAACGCCGCGUGUGUGAUGAAGGGUUUCGGCUCGUAAAACACUGUUGUAAGAGAAGAAUGACAUUGAGAGUAACUGUUCAAUGUGUGACGGUAUCUUACCAGAAAGGAACGGCUAAAUACGUGCCAGCAGCCGCGGUAAUACGUAUGUUCCAAGCGUUAUCCGGAUUUAUUGGGCGUAAAGCGAGCGCAGACGGUUAUUUAAGUCUGAAGUGAAAGCCCUCAGCUCAACUGAGGAAUUGCUUUGGAAACUGGAUGACUUGAGUGCAGUAGAGGAAAGUGGAACUCCAUGUGUAGCGGUGAAAUGCGUAGAUAUAUGGAAGAACACCAGUGGCGAAGGCGGCUUUCUGGACUGUAACUGACGUUGAGGCUCGAAAGUGUGGGUAGCAAACAGGAUUAGAUACCCUGGUAGUCCACACCGUAAACGAUGAGUGCUAGGUGUUUGAGGGUUUCCGCCCUUAAGUGCCGCAGC